AUGUUAGAAUACAAUAAAUUGAAACCUAAGCCAGAAAUUUCCAAGGGAUUUCACGAGUUCAUCACUAGGAUUUGUGUAGGAAUCAGAAUUAGGGUUGGCUUUCGAAUCAUGUUCAAGCAACAAUCAAAGCCUCAUAUAAUUUUGGUUCACCCAAAUCAGUUUUCGAGCAAGCAAUCAUGGGCCAAAUUCCAUCUACUACAAGUCACAAAAAAACAAGUUUUGGUUCACAGUAGAGUUCAAAACGAGCAAGCUUACUACACAAGUUUCACAAAA
This is a non-coding RNA of Vicia faba (fava bean), 273 nucleotides long. The record is from the annotation of a GenBank genome assembly. NCBI's taxonomy places the organism in Eukaryota, Viridiplantae, Streptophyta, Magnoliopsida, Fabales, Fabaceae.